Molecule: unclassified non-coding RNA, 607 nt
Filed under: Hevea brasiliensis (rubber tree)
Lineage: Eukaryota; Viridiplantae; Streptophyta; Magnoliopsida; Malpighiales; Euphorbiaceae
Source: RNAcentral
AAAUUAACUAAAUCAAUCCAUGGUUUCAAGUGCCAGUACACUGAAUUCCAAGGUUAUAUUAAUGAACAAACAAACUAGGAUUCGGGAAAUAUAAAGAUUAAAGAACAGUUUUAAUUUCAAGGCCAGAAGCUUGUUUGUAUUUGAUUUUGGUCCAUGUGAUCUACAUACUUCAUUGCUAGAAUUUCUAAGCCAGUUUUCAAAAUGAGGAUGCAAUUUUAAAAACCAAUAAAGAACAAAAAGCAAACCUUAAAGCAAUCACAUGUUUGGUCAGUAUGAAUUCUAACCAAAAUAGCACUAACAUUUAAUAUAUCACACAUGAAUGUUCAUUAUGAUGCACAGUCAGAGGCAUGCAAAAUGGUCGGUUUGGUUCCGAAUCAAAUUGAACUGGAAAAACGAAAAAUCAAAAUGCAUUUUAUGAGAGACCAAACUGAACCCGUCAAACUGAAAUAAAUUGGUUCAAUUCAAUCCAUCAGUUCUUUGUCCAAUUUCAACAAUAAGACAAAACUCAAUUCUUCUUCCAAUUUCAUCAAUAAAAAAAAACGCAAAUUGUAUCACAAUGAAACUUAUCUCAAGCUCAAUUUUUCAAUCAUUAAAACUCAAUUUUUUG